UUUCUUUGGAUAGAGGCUGGACUUCUCUCAAGCUGUCACUGGGCAUCAGAUGGGAAUGCUCUGUCUCCAGGGCAAGGAAGGAAAUUCCAGAGAGUUAGCCAAGACAAUCAGGGUUAAUGUUCUCUUUAAGAAGUGUGGUGCAAGCAGGACCCUCUCUUUCCCAUUCAAAGAUUGUCCACAGCCACAUAGCUGCCCAAAUGGAUAUUGGGGUACCCCAAUCUUGUGUGAAGCGGAAUGCUGGAGCAUCAUUUCUCCAGGAGACUGGGAUAGCAGGCUUGGCAGAGCAGGGCUCUUCUUGGCAGCUCCCCCAUCCCUGUGAUCCUCACAAGUGCUGUGUGAUGCUUGCAGAUCACUCCUGCAGAGAGCUCUCCCUAAAUAAAGCGCUGACAGCUGCUAAGAGGAGGACUGAACGGUCUGAAGUCUUCUUAGGAUUGUCUGCUGGCACUCAGCACUUCUGGGUCUCGAAGGACUUACCAGCCUGAAUCCAGCAACAGGAUCCUGCCAAAGACUUUUGGCCUGGCCCUGGAAAUCAAAUAUCUUGGUUUGCAUGGCUUCAGAUGUAAGAAACACAAUGGUGUCGAGCUGCCUUUGAAGGAACUCAGCUGGGUGCCUUUGCUUUACCAGGAAGGUUUAGCUGCAGAGGGACAAACCACCCAUCCGUUACUCACUCAUAACUGGAGACUUGGCAGAGUUUCUCUCUCUUUCUCCUCUGGCCAGUGCUGGGGUGAGGAAGGGGAAUGAUUAGCAAGAUUAAUCUCCUGUAGACUAGAUGGACGUGUAAUCUUAUGCACUAUCUUCAAGACAGACUGGGUUGAUGUUAUUGUUUCCUUUUCAUCUGAGUUUACAUCUUCACAAGCAAAGGCAAUAAGAUGGAAGUAGGCAUGAAGGGAAAAAUAUGAAGGAGAAACGAAGC
This 913-nucleotide long non-coding RNA is filed under the name Gallus gallus (chicken). RNAcentral's name for it is "lncRNA (ENSGALG00010018980.1)". Lineage: Eukaryota; Metazoa; Chordata; Aves; Galliformes; Phasianidae. The record is from RNAcentral.